Trichonephila clavipes is the source of this 72-nucleotide non-coding RNA. The record is from the annotation of a GenBank genome assembly. NCBI's taxonomy places the organism in Eukaryota, Metazoa, Arthropoda, Arachnida, Araneae, Nephilidae.
GAGGGUAUAGCUCAGUGGUAGAGCAUUCGACUGCUAAUUGAGAGGUCCCCGAUUCUAACACGGAUGUCCUCU